Molecule: ribosomal RNA, 528 nt
Filed under: Triticum aestivum (bread wheat)
Lineage: Eukaryota; Viridiplantae; Streptophyta; Magnoliopsida; Poales; Poaceae
Description: partial small subunit ribosomal RNA
Source: RNAcentral
AUGCCUGCUGUGAUGGUUGGGGGUUCGUUUUAUUGGUUGCUUUAUGGGAAUUCACAAGGAAUCCUUGAAUUUGAUUUGGAUAAGCGGAGACUAGCUUUGAUACCCAUGCCAAUGGGAAACACUGGAGACAUGAGAGAUGGCAAUAUUUGGGUUAUGCCGGCAGAGGGUGGUGGCCUUGGUUUCGUCUUUCUGAGAGGCUUCCGUGCGCAAUUAUGGAAGAGGAGGACCAGUUGCAAGGGUGUUGCUUCAUGGUUACUCGGAAGAACUGUUGAAUUGGAUAAGCUACUUUCCCUGAAUUCAGAGAAGCAGAUAGAGCGCCCAAGGAUACUCGGGUUUGCUGAGGUCAAUAAUGUGGUUUUACUGGGGACACUUAGAGGCAUCUUCAUGGUCCAGUUUGAACUAUUGCAUUUCAAGAAAGUUAUUAAAUCCAACCCCUGGUAUAGCCAUUAUCCAUUUGAAGGUGUCUAUACUGCAGAUGGGGGCAUUGGUGGUGGACCAUAUGGAGCUAGAGUAUUGCACAAUAUGUAA